Molecule: ribosomal RNA, 508 nt
Filed under: uncultured bacterium
Lineage: Bacteria
Description: partial 16S ribosomal RNA
Rfam family: Bacterial small subunit ribosomal RNA
Source: RNAcentral
AUUGAACGCUGGCGGCAGGCCUAACACAUGCAAGUCGAGCGGCAGCGGGAAAGUAGCUUGCUACUUUUGCCGGCGAGCGGCGGACGGGUGAGUAAUGCCUGGGGAUCUGCCCAGUCGAGGGGGAUAACUACUGGAAACGGUAGCUAAUACCGCAUACGCCCUACGGGGGAAAGCAGGGGACCUUCGGGCCUUGCGCGAUUGGAUGAACCCAGGUGGGAUUAGCUAGUUGGUGAGGUAACGGCUCACCAAGGCGACGAUCCCUAGCUGGUCUGAGAGGAUGAUCAGCCACACUGGAACUGAGACACGGUCCAGACUCCUACGGGAGUCAGCAGUGGGGAAUAUUGCACAAUGGGGGAAACCCUGAUGCAGCCAUGCCGCGUGUGUGAAGAAGGCCUUCGGGUUGUAAAGCACUUUCAGCGAGGAGGAAAGGUCAGUAGCUAAUAUCUGCUGGCUGUGACGUUACUCGCAGAAGAAGCACCGGCUAACUCCGUGCCAGCAGCCGCAGUAA